Molecule: non-coding RNA, 29 nt
Filed under: Homo sapiens (human)
Lineage: Eukaryota; Metazoa; Chordata; Mammalia; Primates; Hominidae
Source: RNAcentral
UAUAUUGAUGAAAGGGCUUAAGGAUAUAU